RNAcentral lists this ribosomal RNA (544 nucleotides) under Acinetobacter johnsonii. RNAcentral describes it as "bacterial SSU rRNA". It matches the Rfam family "Bacterial small subunit ribosomal RNA", at positions 1 to 539 of the family's 1533-position model. Lineage: Bacteria; Pseudomonadati; Pseudomonadota; Gammaproteobacteria; Moraxellales; Moraxellaceae. The record is from RNAcentral.
UAACUGAAGAGUUUGAUCAUGGCUCAGAUUGAACGCUGGCGGCAGGCUUAACACAUGCAAGUCGAGCGGGGUGAUGUAGCUUGCUACCUAACCUAGCGGCGGACGGGUGAGUAAUGCUUAGGAAUCUGCCUAUUAGUGGGGGACAACAUUCCGAAAGGAAUGCUAAUACCGCAUACGCCCUACGGGGGAAAGCAGGGGAUCUUCGGACCUUGCGCUAAUAGAUGAGCCUAAGUCAGAUUAGCUAGUUGGUGGGGUAAAGGCCUACCAAGGCGACGAUCUGUAGCGGGUCUGAGAGGAUGAUCCGCCACACUGGGACUGAGACACGGCCCAGACUCCUACGGGAGGCAGCAGUGGGGAAUAUUGGACAAUGGGCGCAAGCCUGAUCCAGCCAUGCCGCGUGUGUGAAGAAGGCCUUUUGGUUGUAAAGCACUUUAAGCGAGGAGGAGGCUACUGGUAUUAAUACUACCGGAUAGUGGACGUUACUCGCAGAAUAAGCACCGGCUAACUCUGUGCCAGCAGCCGCGGUAAUACAGAGGGUGCGAGC